CGCAAUGGGCGCAAGCCUGACGAAGCAACGCCGCGUGGAGGAUGAAGGUCUUCGGAUUGUAAACUCCUGUCGACCGGGACGAAUGCACUCGACCUAAUACGUCGGAAUGUUGACGGUACCGGUGGAGGAAGCCACGGCUAACUCUGUGCCAGCAGCCGCGGUAAUACAGAGGUGGCAAGCGUUGUUCGGAAUUACUGGGCGUAAAGGGUGUGUAGGUGGUCGUAUUAGUCUUGUGUUAAAUUCUUUGGCUUAACCAAAGACCUGCAUAGGAAACGGUACGACUUGAAGAUGCGAGGGGUGAAUGGAACUCAUAGUGGAGGGGUGAAAUCCGUUGAUAUUAUGGGGAACACCAAAAGCGAAGGCAAUUCACUGGCGCAUUCCUGACUCUAAACACGAAAGCGU
Molecule: ribosomal RNA, 402 nt
Filed under: uncultured organism
Description: bacterial SSU rRNA
Rfam family: Bacterial small subunit ribosomal RNA
Source: RNAcentral